GAAUUAUGGGAUUUUAACCCUGCUUUAAGCGACAACACCAGGCAAGCAACGGUCGAGGAGGCACCACGGUAAAAAUCACCUGGAGGACUCCAUAUGCCAGUACUGUGGCAGCUCAUGGGCUGGCAAUGUAAACUUUGCAAAUUUGAGGAUUCUUCAAAAGGCGAGCUGCUCAAGCAUUAUCGACUCAAGCACGGUCAAAGCUCCGAAACCUUGGAUUUCCUGAGGUUGCCUGCAACUCACUUAAGAACAAGAACCCAGAUGAUCGGUCUCCUGCAAAGAAUAUAAAGAAAGCACAGAAAGGAGAAGUUGUG
Girardinichthys multiradiatus is the source of this 311-nucleotide long non-coding RNA. RefSeq lists it as uncharacterized. The transcript is spliced from 3 exons. The record is from RefSeq and is a predicted model, not a curated record. NCBI's taxonomy places the organism in Eukaryota, Metazoa, Chordata, Actinopteri, Cyprinodontiformes, Goodeidae.